GAGACGGUGAACGUGGACGUAAACACAACAAACUGAAAUAACGCUUGAAUGACUGUUCAAUGCGCUCUCCGAAGAGGCACAAGGUUAGUCUUCAUAGCAUAUUGUACUGUUAAUUUGUGUUUUAUACUUUAAUACAAUUUUGUAAUGUCACAACAACUUUUAAUACUUGCUAAGCUGAGUUUGUGAGUGUUAACCUACGUGAAUGAACGUUAAGCUAGGCUAAUGCUUGAAGCUACAUGCCUGUGUAGUUAAUGUAUUUUUGUGCUUUAUGCAUAGCUCUCGCGGUGAUGUGGAGAUUCGCAAUAAAUCAAAAAUCAACGGUUCAAGCCUUUGACCAUCUUUCGGUGGUGGUGGUGGUGGUGGUGGGUGGAGAUGCUACAUUCACCAGAAAACUCAGCUUUAAUGAUCCACCUGCUGGAGGAAACGAGCAGCAACAAAGGGUCACAGGGGGCUGGAGCCUAUCCCAGCUGACAAGAGUGCGAGAGGCGGAGUUCAACCUCCACUGGUCGUCUGUCAGUCGCAGGGACGACACACAAAAACAGACAAUCACACACACCUAGAGGCAAUGUUGAGCAGUCAGUGAACCCAAUGUGCAUGUUUUUGGGCUUAUGGGAAGAGACUGGAGGAAACACAGGGAGAACAAACUCCACACAAAAGGGCCCAGACUGGGAUUUGAACCCGAACCCUCUUGCUGUGAGGCAGCAGUGCUAACCACUGAACCACUCUGCUGCCCCCUUUCAAUCUCAAAUUCGGUACUUAACAGUAAAGUUGAUUGGCCUAGAAAACACAGUUUUACUUAAGCUUUUUUGCUCUUAGUAGCAGGAGUUGAAAUUGAGGAUUGGUACGAAAGUUGUGCGAGCAAGUCUUGUCUGGAACGUCUCCCAAAGGUGUCUUAUUUACCUGUUGUGUCCACUGGUAGGCCUACUUUCAGGAAUAAAUAAGGUGUUCAGAGGUGUGUGUGUGUGUGUGUGAAGUCAUGUAGAGGAGAGAUAGAUGGAUGGAAGUCAUGUAAUUG
This is a long non-coding RNA of Scatophagus argus, 1015 nucleotides long. RefSeq lists it as uncharacterized. The transcript has 3 exons. Lineage: Eukaryota; Metazoa; Chordata; Actinopteri; Scatophagidae. The record is from RefSeq and is a predicted model, not a curated record.